UACGUAGGGUGCGAGCGUUAAUCGGAAUUACUGGGCGUAAAGCGUGCGCAGGCGGUUCUCCAAGUCCGAUGUGAAAGCCCCGGGCUUAACCUGGGAACGGCGUUGGAAACUCUCAAGCUUGAGUGUGGCAGAGGGGGGUGGAAUUCCACGUGUAGCAGUGAAAUGCGUAGAGAUGUGGAGGAACACCGAUGGCGAAGGCAGCCCCCUGGGAUGACACUGACGCUCAUACACGAAAGCGUGGGGAGCAAACAGG
This 253-nucleotide ribosomal RNA is filed under the name uncultured bacterium. RNAcentral's name for it is "partial 16S ribosomal RNA". It matches the Rfam family "Bacterial small subunit ribosomal RNA", at positions 524 to 776 of the family's 1533-position model. The record is from RNAcentral.